Molecule: ribosomal RNA, 486 nt
Filed under: uncultured bacterium
Lineage: Bacteria
Description: partial 16S ribosomal RNA
Rfam family: Bacterial small subunit ribosomal RNA
Source: RNAcentral
AUUGAACGCUGGCGGCAUGCCUUACACAUGCAAGUCGAACGGCAGCACGGGUGCUUGCACCUGGUGGCGAGUGGCGAACGGGUGAGUAAUACAUCGGUACACGUCCUGUAGUGGGGGAUAGCCCGGCGAAAGCCGGAUUAAUACCGCAUACGAUCUACGGAUGAAAGCGGGGGACCUUCGGGCCUCGCGCUGUUGGGUUGGCCGAUGGGUGAUUAGCUAGUUGGUGGGGUAAAGGCCUACCAAGGCGACGAUCAGUAGCUGGUCUGAGAGGACGACCAGCCACACUGGGACUGAGACACGGCCCAGACGCCUACGGGAGGCAGCAGUGGGGAAUGUUGGACAAUGGGCGAAAGCCUGAUCCAGCAAUGCCGCGUGUGUGAAGAAGGCCUUCGGGUUGUAAAGCACUUUUGUCCGGAAAGAAAUCCUUGGCCCUAAUACGGUCGGGGGAUGACGGUACCGGAAGAAUAAGCACCGGCUAACUACGUG